Molecule: long non-coding RNA, 552 nt
Organism: Mastomys coucha (southern multimammate mouse)
Lineage: Eukaryota; Metazoa; Chordata; Mammalia; Rodentia; Muridae
Exons: 3
Source: RefSeq, a predicted model, not a curated record
UCUGCCUGUUUUCUCCUGCAUUUUUAUGGAUAAUGCCUGGCACACUGAAGAAUUAAAUAGUUCUGCUUGCCUGCUCACCAUAUUCUGCAAUUCCCCUCCAAAGUGAGGCUUGGCUCUCAAAAGGCUUUGUUUGCCAAAAGUAUGGACUGUAACCACGUACCAGAAAGUUCCGGUACCAGAUGAACAACAACACAGUUCCGGCUUUUGUGCUACUGAGGGAGAUCAUAAAUAAAACGAUCCAGGAAGUUAUAAAUACACAAGAGAGAAAAUAAAGGAGGGGUGCUGUGGUGGAAGAGCUGAGGAGGGUUUCAGAUGAUCCGUAAGGGCGACAGAAAUGACAACAGUCUGGUAUUAGCUAGCUUUAGGGAGACAGAUCCAACUUUAUUCAGGGUAGUCAAGCUCCCCAGAGUACAUUAGAGAAGGAGAAGACCUGACGGUAAAGAGAGUCCCCCAUUUUGCUGUGAGCUCAGAAGGCCAUUUGGACAAUGGUAGACUUCAACAUUAAUUAGCAGGCCACUACCUCUUUAAGCAAGGCCACCAACAAGGGUCCAA